UACGGAGGGUGCGAGCGUUAUCCGGAUUUAUUGGGCUUAAAGGGUGCGCAGGCGGCCCGUUAAGUCGGCGGUGAAACCCGUGCGCCCAACGCACGGCCUGCCGCCGAUACUACCGGGCUAGGGUAGAGGCAGCGCUUUUGGAAUGCGUCAAGUAGCGGUGAAAUGCACAGAUAUGACGCAGAACGCCGACCGCGAAGGCAGGGGGCGGGCCAUCUACCGACGCUCAUGCACGAAAGCGCGGGUAUCGAACAGG
RNAcentral lists this ribosomal RNA (253 nucleotides) under uncultured bacterium. Its description in RNAcentral is "partial 16S ribosomal RNA". It matches the Rfam family "Bacterial small subunit ribosomal RNA", at positions 524 to 776 of the family's 1533-position model. The record is from RNAcentral.